ACGAACGGCUAUGCACUGCACAACCCUAGGAGAAGGUGCCAUUCACAUAGACUAUAAUUGAAUGGCGCCACUAGGGUUGUGCAGUGCACAACCUGCAC
This is a microRNA precursor of Jaculus jaculus (lesser Egyptian jerboa), 98 nucleotides long. The record is from Ensembl. Lineage: Eukaryota; Metazoa; Chordata; Mammalia; Rodentia; Dipodidae.